AGAAGUAUAGUUCAAGUGGUAGAGUACUUGCCUUGCAAGCAUAAGGCCCUAAGUUCAAUUCCCAGUACAGCCA
Molecule: transfer RNA, 73 nt
Filed under: Dipodomys ordii (Ord's kangaroo rat)
Lineage: Eukaryota; Metazoa; Chordata; Mammalia; Rodentia; Heteromyidae
Rfam family: tRNA
About the family: Transfer RNA (tRNA) molecules are approximately 80 nucleotides in length. Their secondary structure includes four short double-helical elements and three loops (D, anti-codon, and T loops).
Source: Rfam by way of RNAcentral